AUGAACGCUGGCGGCGUGCCUAAUACAUGCAAGUCGAGCGAACAGACGAGGAGCUUGCUCCUCUGACGUUAGCGGCGGACGGGUGAGUAACACGUGGAUAACCUACCUAUAAGACUGGGAUAACUUCGGGAAACCGGAGCUAAUACCGGAUAAUAUAUUGAACCGCAUGGUUCAAUAGUGAAAGACGGUUUUGCUGUCACUUAUAGAUGGAUCCGCGCCGCAUUAGCUAGUUGGUAAGGUAACGGCUUACCAAGGCGACGAUGCGUAGCCGACCUGAGAGGGUGAUCGGCCACACUGGAACUGAGACACGGUCCAGACUCCUACGGGAGGCAGCAGUAGGGAAUCUUCCGCAAUGGGCGAAAGCCUGACGGAGCAACGCCGCGUGAGUGAUGAAGGUCUUCGGAUCGUAAAACUCUGUUAUUAGGGAAGAACAAAUGUGUAAGUAACUAUGCACGUCUUGACGGUACCUAAUCAGUAAGCCACGGCUAACUACGUG
This 496-nucleotide ribosomal RNA is filed under the name uncultured bacterium. Its description in RNAcentral is "partial 16S ribosomal RNA". It matches the Rfam family "Bacterial small subunit ribosomal RNA", at positions 29 to 507 of the family's 1533-position model. The record is from RNAcentral.